GUUAAAAAAUUAAAUAUCAUGAAUUAUAGUAAUAUUUUAUUGUCACAGCUAUCUGUGUGAAUAGUUAUACACACAGAUGACCGUGUAACUAAUUAAUACAUUUACACUGUAUUUCGUAACUAAUAUCUUUUCACACGGUUUUUUGUUACCAUUGCUAUUGCAUAAAGUAACGUAGACCAUAAAAGCCUAUUUCACACGGUUAGCAGUAGCACAUUGUAUUUCUCACAGAAUUCUAUGAGUUUAAAGUAAAUGUGAGAAAUAAAUCCGUGUGAAAGGUUAUUUUUCUAGUAGUGAGGUAAAUCUAGAUAAUCAUAUUCAUGCAUUUUGUGCAACUCUCAUAGUUGAAACAGAUUGCCAGGUUCUUGACUUCUUGUUAAGGGCACUUGGGAAUAACUCUCUUGAUCAAUCAGAUCUUGGUUUUCUUCUCUCUGAUCUGAGGGAGCUUUUGUGUCUUGCAUCUUAUGCACAACUUCGUUUUGUUGGUAGGACUGUCGCCCUCACUAUAGCAAGGAAGCUUUUCAAGCUUCUAGUAAUUAAUUAGGUGUUUAAUCUAGCUUGUACCAUCUCCGCAUAAGGAGAGGUGUUAAUUACUUUUGAGAUGUAUAAUUCUUAAGAAAAAGAGUGCGGCUAUUGGAAUCUUCAAAUUUGCUUAAUAUACCUCUCAUUCUCUCUACACCUCCCUUUUACUUUUCAAUAUAAGCAUUUUCUCAUUAGACCUCAUUUCAAAUUUCUAACAUAACCUUAGUUAUUUAUUGACAUAUAUUUCAAUUAAUUACUUACUUAGUUACUUUACCUCUUAUUCACUCAAUAGACCUCUCAUUCUUUAUUUUUAUUUUUUUACCUUUUUGUUUUUGAACAUCCAUUACUUAGUUACUUUACCUCUUAUUCACUCUAAUAGACCUCUCAUUCUUUAUUUUUAUUUUUUUACCUUUUUGUUUUUGUAACAUCCAUUACUUAGUUACUUUACCUCUUAUUCACUCAAUAGACCUCUCAUUCUU
This 998-nucleotide long non-coding RNA is filed under the name Fragaria vesca (wild strawberry). RNAcentral describes it as "long non-coding RNA (FVES_LNC000635)". Lineage: Eukaryota; Viridiplantae; Streptophyta; Magnoliopsida; Rosales; Rosaceae. The record is from RNAcentral.